RNAcentral lists this ribosomal RNA (253 nucleotides) under uncultured bacterium. Its description in RNAcentral is "partial 16S ribosomal RNA". It matches the Rfam family "Bacterial small subunit ribosomal RNA", at positions 524 to 776 of the family's 1533-position model. The record is from RNAcentral.
UACGUAGGGGGCAAGCGUUGUCCGGAUUUAUUGGGCGUAAAGAGCGUGUAGGCGGUUUGGUAGGUCCGCUGUGAAAACUCGAGGCUCAACCCCGAGACGCCGGUGGAAACCAUCAGACUAGAGUCCGGAAGAGGAGAGUGGAAUUCCUGGUGUAGCGGUGAAAUGCGCAGAUAUCAGGAAGAACACCCGUGGCGAAGGCGGCUCUCUAGUACGGUACUGACGCUGAGACGCGAAAGCGUGGGGAGCGAACAGG